AGCCCCCCUUCGAGUGGACGAAUAAGACGAGUAUCGGGUGCGUGAAGUGUACCGCUGGUGCUCCUGUCGCUAAGCAUGCUCAACGACAACUCGGGUGCCCGAUGGUGGUAUAACUAACAAUCCGCAAACAUGAGAUGACUCCGUGUCUU
Caenorhabditis elegans is the source of this 149-nucleotide non-coding RNA. The record is from Ensembl. Lineage: Eukaryota; Metazoa; Nematoda; Chromadorea; Rhabditida; Rhabditidae.